Delphinapterus leucas (beluga whale) is the source of this 2187-nucleotide non-coding RNA. The record is from RefSeq and is a predicted model, not a curated record. Lineage: Eukaryota; Metazoa; Chordata; Mammalia; Artiodactyla; Monodontidae.
AACAGUGCCACCCCCUGCCUCUGCAAGAGACCCUCCAACACUAGCAGGAGAAGCUGAAAGUUCCUGAGAGAAGCACAUAAAGAGGACAUGAAUCCACACAUAGAAAAAGGUGAGCAUGAUGUGCUGCCUCACCAAAUGGUCCCACAUGCAGAAGAACAAGCUCGGCUGUGGCUGCGUCUGCCCUUCUGUUACCAAGGGCAGUGCAUACUUCCGGUGGAGGCUGACUUGUGAGGUGACCUUUUUGUUAUCUUUUCCUGCGAAAUGAGCAGAUUCUAGCAGAUGCUGCUGAAACCUCUUUCUUGUCAAUUCAGCAGAGAGAAAGCAUCUUUCCCAUUAUUUAUUCCAAAUGCAUACUUGGCAUGUUCCUGAUUCAUAAUGGCUAGUGGUUUCAUUCAUACACAGUGGUCAAUUGAGUUCCUGUGUCUGAGGCAGGCCACCAAGCAGGCUAAGAUCAAGGCAUCCCAUCCCAGAUUUCUGCUUCUCCACAGUGAACUUCAGUGAUCUCUGUUGAAUGAGAAGCUUGAAUUCUACUCUUGGAAACAGGUGCCCUGACUGGCCUCUGCUGGAACUGUAGGGAAAUUGUUCUGAGACAGCCUGGGACCUGGGACCCUUUGCUGCAGUGCUGCAGUGCUUGGACCUGGACACACCUCUCCUUGAGCAACAAAAUACAAAGAAACUCUAUGGGACUAAAAGUAACUGCGUGCAUGCCAAAUUCUGGACCCAAAAAAUGCAAAGAGACCAAAAAACCCAACUGCCGCUUUUGAAGAGCCUGGAGCAAAAACAGGGUGUUGGGAGCAAAAGCAAGGUACUUCUCAUGCCCCCUGCACACAACACCACCUAAGGGGUGGGCAAAACACCUAAGCCACCCCUCUGGCCUGACCCCUGGACACACCCCUACCCACACCCCAUAUAAGAAACAAGCUUGCCUCACCCCUCCCCCAGGGAGCUAGCAAGCAAGGGAAACUGUUGUUUGUUCUCGCUCCCCACUGCUGCAGCAGGGACCCCACUUAAGCCUCGCCUGAAUGUCUUGUCCAGCCUCUUAUCAAUUUCUAUUGAUUGGGGAAGGCCAAGAACCCUGGUUGGUAACAGUUCCAUAGGUAACUCAAAUUGUUUGGAAAAGAAUGAGCUCUAUUCCUUUUUUCUGGGGCCACUUGUCACAUCCAUACUGUGAGUUAAGAGGCUUCCAAGUGUUAUUUGGGUAUUUAAGCACGUCAAUUUGGUGUUACUUAUAAACCAACAUAAAAUUAUAUUGAUAGUUUUCAUGCAUGGUGGAGGUCUCUCAAAUGCAAAGAAACAUGACUGGCUGGCAAAGAAAGUGACAACUGAGCUGUUUGGCCAUUGUGUCUGUCCAUAACUAUGAAUAAGGAAGACAGACAGAAAGGAAAGAUGGAGUCCAGAGGGCUAAGGGGGAAUAAACAGGCCCAGCUUCCGGAAUCUGAACACUGCUGAAAAUUUCCCUCUAAUCUUACUGUGGAAACCAGAAGGGCAUCAAUUUAAGAUACAUGUCGAUCACAGAGUUUGGUACCUGCUGAAGUUGCUUUACACAAUCUGUACUUUCUACUGAGGGGCAGCUGUGUGCUGCAGGGGAUGUAAAGGUGAAUCUGAUAGGAUCUGGUCCUUAAGAAACAUGUAGCUCAGUAGCAGAGAGAAGCCAUCCGUGUAAAUAACUAUAACAAAAGUGAUUAGGAGAGGAACUUCAGAGCAGAGAUAGAAGCACAAUUCUGAGCUAGAUUAGAAGAGGAUGUUAAGAACCCAAGCUCUUCCACCUCCACCUCCCUGAUUCAUUUGGAAAAAGAGGAAAGCAUGGAGAGUCUGUGAGUGCUGUGUGCCACUGGCUUACUGCAUCCAUGUCUUUGAUGGCUCACAUAAACAAUUCAGAAGAUGCCUUCAGGCAUGGCUAGAUCCAGGACUCAAAUUUUCUCCCCAGGAUACUGUCUCCUUUUACCUUAAUCCUGCUUUCCCCUGAAUUGCUUCCAUUCUCAGUCAGGCUCAUCCUCACAGCUAAGAAAAAGAAUUCCUCUUUCACACUUUUUCAUAGUGGCUAGAAGGAUAAGCAAUUGACUAGGCCUUGGAUACGAGACAACCCCUAAAGCUACAAUGGUUUGGGUCAUAACCCCCCUCCCUGGACUAACUGAGAAAGACAAUUAAGGUGUUGUUUUACUUUAAUAAAAAAAAAAAAGAGGUUGA